Molecule: ribosomal RNA, 246 nt
Filed under: uncultured bacterium
Lineage: Bacteria
Description: partial 16S ribosomal RNA
Rfam family: Bacterial small subunit ribosomal RNA
Source: RNAcentral
AUACGUAGGGGGCGAGCGUUGUCCGGAAUUAUUGGGCGUAAAGGGUUCGUAGGCGGUUAUUUAAGUCAGGUGUGAAAGGCAUAGGCUCAACCUGUGUAAGCACUUGAAACUGAAUGACUUGAGUUAAGGAGAGGAGAGUGGAAUUCCUAGUGUAGCGGUGAAAUGCGUAGAUAUUAGGAGGAACACCAGUUGCGAAGGCGGCUCUCUGGACUGUAACUGACACUGAGGCACGAAAGCGUGGGGAGC